RNAcentral lists this long non-coding RNA (429 nucleotides) under Helianthus annuus (common sunflower). Its description in RNAcentral is "sRNA HanXRQr2_Chr08g0353391". The record is from RNAcentral. Lineage: Eukaryota; Viridiplantae; Streptophyta; Magnoliopsida; Asterales; Asteraceae.
CCAUAACAUUUGUACAAGCCCAUACUUUCAUCAUCUUUCCUCCUCUGCACAUUUAUAGCAUAACCCUUCCUUGUUUCUUGUUCGACCAUCCAAGACAUUCAAACCAUUCAUAAAUUGAUUACAAUAUUAACUUCAAAUUUUAAGAGCAUACAUACACAUAACCUUGAAUCACACCAUAAACUACCACCAUCUCCACUUGAAUCGCCACAAGAACCCCACUUUGCGGCCACCCCUUUCGUUUCCGCCACACGUCACCGUCGCGAGCAACUCGUCACCACCGCACCAUUCAGUUACUGUUUUCCACCGCGGCGGGUCGGUUUCUUUCCAAACUAUCAAGGUAUGUGAGAAUGCAUCUCAUUGUGAUGUGGGUUCAUGUAAGUUUUGAGCACGACCCGAAUUGUGGAUUUUUGCUUUGCUUGCUAAACUAAG